RNAcentral lists this unclassified non-coding RNA (277 nucleotides) under Hevea brasiliensis (rubber tree). The record is from RNAcentral. Lineage: Eukaryota; Viridiplantae; Streptophyta; Magnoliopsida; Malpighiales; Euphorbiaceae.
GCCAGAUAAAACCAGUAUCUUGUGCUUCACAGUUGCCAUUCUUUCUACUAUUGCAACUAAGUCUGGAUCAGGUCCUUUAGGAGCAGUAGCACAAAUUUCUUGAUUAGGGCAUCCUUUACAAGAAUCAGAUUUUCCUGCUGUUUCAGAUUGUGGACCUGGGCAAUGUUCAGGAGCAUUCUCUGGGAUUUCACCGUUUUCCAUCUUCUUCAGCCGCAACAACAAGUUCUAAAUAAAAAUUUAAACUUUAAUAAACUGAAAAAGUGAAAAAUUAUCAAUA